This is a long non-coding RNA of Oreochromis aureus, 9005 nucleotides long. Lineage: Eukaryota; Metazoa; Chordata; Actinopteri; Cichliformes; Cichlidae. The record is from Ensembl.
UUUGGGCUAAUAAGGCACCUGUAACAGUUGUUCGGAGGAUUUUACUCAAGCUUAGGUCAAGUACUGUUGACUUCACUGUACCAGAUUGGAGAAGUUGUGUCAAGCAUUUUUGAUGCUAAAUUUCAUAUAAUUGCUACUAGAUUUCACAUCACUGCCGAGUCGGUUUCAGAUGAAGUCAAGUGACGAGCACGUGAGACCCGGUGAUGUCGGGAUUCUGGAUUCUCCUGGUCUGAAACAGAAAUUUCAAAAAAGAAAAAGAAAAAAAAAAUCGGCCACACUUUAGAAAUACACUGAAAAGCCGUGAGGUUGGUCCUCAGUAAAAGUAGCACAUUAUUUAACAUUUGAUUGGGCCCCGUCUCUUACGGUGUGCAUAUAAGCCUAAACUACAUGGUUCUUGUUUGUAGCUGUUGUUGCCAGGAUGGCAAUAUUGCUGCAUGCUAGUGCUAUAUUUGUCUCUACACAGCACGUGGAGGGUAAUCUCAUGCCUUAACAGACAAUGCACUAAAUAGAAAUAUGUAAGCAACUGCCGAGAUCUCUUUCCAACAGUAUUGCCACACGUAUGGCGCACAGCUCAUGAUGUUGGUGUUUGUUGUCUGUUCAGUACCAAAUAAACACUGCCAAACUAACAUCAUCACUUCUUUAACAGCAAAGGCAGAGACAUUAAUGAAAUCGUUUCAGUGUAACGUGUGUAUUCAGUAAUCUAGCAUUCCUUCAUGGCACCGAAAUUUUUACAUAUUUUGUGUAAACACGUAUAUCAAAUGCACUAUUGACUGUAGCUAGAUGAGUACAACCAGCUUUGUGGUAUCAUUGGUCUAAAUAGUAGGUUAAGUAGCUUGAUGUUGGUUUUUUUUUUUCUUCUCUCCUCCAAAUAUUUGAUUUCACAAGUUCACUAUCAAUCGUUUCUCUCUAUCACUUCUUUUGGAAUAACAAAAGUAGCCAAUCUCAACGUUAUCUGGAUGAGGGCUAAAUAACUCGUCCCGUCGUCAGUUGACUUCUUGUAUCAUAAGGUGUUUGAUAGCAGACCAGGCUCGGAAGGGGAAGCACCUUCUCUCCAGUGUGUCAUAACGUGCUUAGAGCAUACCCAGGCUUCCUCCCCCUCUGUCCCCUGUCGCGUUAGCAUCACACGCUCUUCACUGUCCAUAGUUAUAUAUUCCUUAUACUGCUUCAGAUACUCGUGGUGGUGCUUAAUUCUCUUUUCUCAGUGUUGCAAAAAAAACCCCAGAAAACCCCAAGUCGGUUAAAAAUUGUUGAAAAGUUGCAACAUUAUCCAGAAAAAAAAAAGUCCUUAUCUCAAUCGUGCUUCUUCUAGUUGUUAGACUAGACUUUAUGUUUGCAAAGUGUACGCAUAUUUUCCUGAACAAAACAUAUUGAAAAGUAGAUACUAGUCUUGAGCCUGCAGCUGUUUGUAUUGUGUUUCAGAUAUAUUCCUGUUUAUGUUUUGUUUAUCGUAGUGUAGAGACACAGGGUCUACAGUACAUUGUUGUCCUUCUUGCAGUAAGUUUAAUUCAUUGUUAUACUUCUUUAUUUCGGAGUUCCUUCUGCUUUUUUCUGGUGGUCAUAGUGGUGUUGUUUAUACAUACAUAGCUUCGCGCGACUGAAUAAAGAAUAGUCGGUUAUUUUUCACAGUGUAUUAUAUAUAUAUGCAUAUACGCUUUGCAUUUAGUUGAAAACAAGGAAAUGGAAGAUAGUAAUGGUGAGGGUGAUACUGAGUAAGGAACAGGUUCAUUUUAUUCUGAUAAGCAUGUGUCUGUCUUCCUGUUUGUCUUUAAGUCUGUCUCCACACAUUUUAAGUCAGAUUUCUUUUAUUUAGGCACGAAUAAAGUCACAAAAGUAGAAAACACAUGAACGCAUUCAUAUAAUACUUAACAGCUUUAUUUUUUUCGUUGCUUUUUUGUCCUUCUACAGUACACAUAAGAAUGAAAUAGAUAACUUCUUACAAAUAAACUAUAUAUAUUUUAAGUAUCACCAUCUCCACACAGAUAAAGAAUACAUUUUCAGAUAGUUUGAUAAAAUUGCAGCUAGAAUAUACAAUACCUUGUGUGAUAUAGGGAGUACGCCUAUCAAGUGCCUAUCAGUACAUACAGCAACUAUACAGAAUAUUCAUAGUUUUUCUCUCCUACGUUGCACAAAUACAGAAUAUACACAGUGGACUAAUGAAAAAUAGACUAUUUAUACUAUUACUGCUAAAAACCUGGUGGUUGUGAGUGCAUAAGAGAACCCUUUAAAUACCUGAAAUGUUCUAUUCAUAUACAGUAAAGACUACAUCAGCUAGUUUUAUUUUUUAAACGUACAUGUAUACAGUUUGGAGGAUGAAAAGAUUUAAAAUGCAAUCACGCACGCCUUUGAUUGGUUGGUUUAAAUGGCAGUUGGAAAUUAAAUAUGAAAUCCUAAUACUGGAUAGCCAUUUUUUUUUCAUAUUUGCAAACAAGCCAUAUACUGUACUGUACUGUAUGUUUGGGGAGAAAGGGCAGUGGCAUUUUGUGAACAGCAGGGGGAGCCACACAUCAGCCAGAAGAGGUGAAGUUUAAACGAACAAAACAAAAACAAGUUGAAUCGUUGAAUAUUUUGGAUUCUCUUUGUUGGUCAUUAUGGCCGUUGCAUUUUUCAUAUUACAGUAACAUUUAUGGGAAUGCCAGUAGUUGCCUCCUCUGAGACUACAUGAAUGAAAUGGUUUGCAGUCUGUAGGAUCUGAAAGCUGCUUUAAGGUUCUUAGUUGGCUCCAAAGUACACUGUGUGCAAAUCACACCAGGCGUGCUUUGACCUUGAUGGCAGGCCCGUCCAAAUGCAAGCCAAUGCCCAAUUUCCCCACAAUGAUCAUUAAAGUUUUUAUCUUAUCUUACAGCCUUGUUAUUUAUGUGCAGCUUGGAAUCGUAAAGGGCAAGCAACGAGCAAUGUGGGUAAAAAAAAGAGAAAGGAAAAUGGUUAUUAAACAUUAGACUGGCCGGUUUUUAUCACCGCAAUUUGGAAAUAAAAAAUGAGAUGCCAAAUUGAAAGUUUUGGCUACAGAUAAACAGCUCUUCCCUGAACAGCGGUCUUUAGGUGCUUGGAUGAACAAAAACUAAGAGAGAAAUACGGCAGAAUGAAAAACCACAAAUCAAGUUUCAGGACCGAGUGGCUCUGAGAUAAAAGGUUUUGUGAUGGCUUAUUAUUUUGUCCCCUGUGGACUAAUUACCACAGUUUUCUCUCUAACCUUCUCCAGCCUAGUUACGGUGCCAAAUUUGGGGAGGAUGAGGGGAGACUUUAAAUUAUAAGAGUAAGAGGGAAGCAGACAAAUAUAAAGAAGAAAGAAAAAUUUCAUUUUUUUCUUAAAUGCAAAACAUUUUAUAACAUUAAAUGCAGCAGGCCAAAAGAAAGUGAUUGCCUUUAUUUUGAAUCUUUGAAUCCUCCAUAAUGCAUAGUUUUCAAUUAAAUUAGGAGAAAACAGCUAUGAUUAACAAAUAUACACUUAGUUUCAUAGACAUUUACUGUUAAAACAAAGCAUCACAAAUAUAGGCAAUGCGAUAUAGCUAGUCCCUGUCAUUCAACCGUCACACUAUGACAUCCUCAGAAACAGCAUCCAUUCUGUUUGAAAUUUAAGGGUUUUACAGACAUAAUGAAGCAGCUGUUCAGAUUUUCAAGUAGACACAGCUAUACUAAGCUAUUACAAUAUCUAGAUUAUAUUUACUAUUCUCCGAACAUGCAGUUAUUACUCUACCCCAGAUGUGUUGUUUUAAAAAUAAAACACCAUCUUCAGGUAACUACCAUCGAACAGUCCAAAUAAAGCAUGCAGUCCUGUCUACACAGCUUUUUUUUUUUUUUUUUUCCAGUGGGGGAGUACUUUGUUAUCGAGUCCCUCGAUAACACGCAUUCAGUAUCUUUUCUUUAUCACACUGAUGAGGGGACUUGGACUCUGAAGACUAAACACUGAGCCUCUUUGUGUUCUCAGUCACUCUAGUCUUUUUGGCUUAGUUCAGCUGGAUGAGACGAUUAGGUUGAAAAGUGUGCAGCAGCAUUAACUAAAAACAUGCAUUCCUGUUCAAGAGCAGCACAUUCCAACUCCUAGUCUGGCAUUCGUUUUCCACACUUAACUAUCCCAACAUUAAGAAUUCCCAGCACUUAAUCGUUUUUACAAAUCCGCCGAUCGUGUGGUAGCAAACAUUGCUUAUCACAAGUUUAGCAAACAUUUACAUUUCCCUAAAACUGAUCCCAUUUCAUUUUUAAAGAAAUUUCUUUUUAGAUCUCAUCUCGACAUUUAUUUCAAACUUUGCCAUGAGAUCACAAACCCUUAUAAGCUCUGACCACAGCUAACGCUUGUGCGGACUGGUUUUAUAGCCAGCAUAUACACUAUGCUAUCGUUCUGCCUCUCUCUGUGUAGGUCACUCUUUAAUAGUGCAGAGACAUUUAAAAAAAAAAGGAAAAAAAGUCGAGGUUCCUCGCCGUGAUGUUGGCCGUGGUCUCGGCCAACUCGUGGUCUGCCAUCACUGAAGACUUAGAUGAAAAAUUUCAGCACUGUAUCUUCACAAAAUGGGCAGGUAGGGGUAAUUAGCAAAACGGGGCCAUGGUAAUCAUUAGAAGUUAAAUAAAACAAACAAACAAACCAAAGAAAAGGUUAGGACAAUUUUAAGUUUUUGAAGAAAUUAAUAUUUCUUUAUAAUGUGUGUGGGGUUCCUACAAUUGGGCUAGAUUGCCACCGUUAUUAUUAUUAUUAUUAUUAUUACUAUUAUUAAUAUUAAUAUGAUUGAUUUUCUUUGUUUUUAAUCUCAUGGCAGGGUGCUUGUGAAAAUGCAUAUACGUUAUGUCACUUGUUUAUAGUUUUGUGGUUGUGUUAAUUUGCCUAUUGUAGACCAAAAUAGAUUUUCUUUUUUAAAAAUAAGAAAUGCAACAAAACAUAAAAAUGAAUCUGACACAAUAGCUGUGAUGUAAACUAUUGCAUGUUAAAACAUGUAUAAGAUUGUAAAUGUUGCAUUGUUCCUCUGGCAAAACAUAAUAAUCAUUGGUUAUGUCUUCUAUACACACAUUUAGCAAAUCAGUGUACACCUUUUCACCUUCGCAUUGGAUUGUGUUUAAUAUAUUUAAGGCUGUCCCUAGUAACUAAUCUGACAUUGUAACUUAAGAGUACAUUCAGCCAUUUAUACUUGAGAUGGACCAAGAUGUUAAGUUUGCACAUAUUUGUAAGUUGUUUAUUAAGCCAAAAAAGAAUGAAAAAAAAAAAUACACAACUUUAAGUCUCAGCAAUUCAAAUCUAGUUUAGGUGCUCGUCACCUAAUAACAAAUCGACCUUAAUGUUCGCUGAAAGAAGGCAACAAAGCCAGCCGUCACUGCGCAACAAAAGUAAAUUCAAACCAAACUAUAAGAUGGAUUUCAACAUCGCGAUGUGAUUAGGUAUUAUUUAUCAAAGUGAUUCAAAAAAAGAGUAUAUUUUUGUAAUAGCGAAUGUAAAUCAUUUGGCAACAAUUAGUUUUAUAACUAUGACGUCCAAAUCUGGGUAAAAUCUGCUGUAUUUGUUCAUCCUGUGUAUUCAAAAUAGGAAAUUGAAUUACUGUAAUUCAGGCAGGGUUUUUUUUUUAAAUCAAAACCUGGGCCGAUGAUAUUAACAUUUAAAAUCCAAAAUUACACGCACCCUUUUUAAAAAGCAGCUUAGGUUUGAUUUUGAUUUUUCUUCUUCUUCUUCCAUCCUGCUUUCAGGCUUUUUGCUGCCAUAUCAUGUACCUAGAUGCUUUUGUAAACAUGCACAUGAGUUGAAAUUUGAGAUGUGGUUAUAAAUAUGUGUAUAUUUUGUCAGGCUUUUUUUUUUUUGCCUAUGUUAGCUUUUGAUUUUACUAUUUCCCUUCAUAAAAAAAAGAAAAAAAAUGACAUCUCUUAUAUAGUUAUGAACUUGGCAGAAGUGGAGCUGUUGUAGUAAAGUUAGUUAACAUCACAACUAAGCAACCCUGAAAUAUAUGCUGCAGUAAUGUGUUCAGUUUGUUUUUGAUAAUUUAUGCUCCAAGUUGGUUUGUAUGUUGUUAUUAUUGUUGUUAUGAAACAAGCUUGUAUGAAAUGUAUUGACUGCUGUUUUGAAAUAGGGGAUAAAGUUUUUUUCUUUUCUUUUCUUUUUUUUUUUUAAAUGUAUGUGCAAGGAUGUUUUUAUAAUAUGAUUUGUCAAACACUGGACUGGAGUGAGUUUUCCAACAUUUCCAAGUUGAGAGAUGUAUUUGACAGACAUAACUGCACAGGCAACACCCGUUAGCACCGAUGUGAGCUGACAGACAAAGCACACCCUCCCCCCGCUGUACACGGGAGGGUGAGUAACAUGGCCGCCAUCCUCCCGAUCAAAAUAGGAGUUAUUUGGAUAUAAGGAGUUACCAUAUUUCCUUUUCGUGCUGGUUAAUUGCAUUCAGUAGGUGAUGGGUUAUAUAUAAAUAUAUAUAUAUGUAAUAGGAACUAUUUAUUAGGGAUGUCCUUCAAAAUUGUUGUUAUGGCAUAGACUGGUGACAGAUUUGUUUUUCUUUUCUGGAAAAGAAAAUUCAUAAAGGGAUACCACUUCACAGCUAAGUAGUUGUCACAAUCACCCGAUAUGUUCUUUCUACGGUAGAGCAGAUUUAACAGUUGCCUCUCAUUACACCUACCACCACUUCUCAAACCAGAUAAGAGAUUUGCACUAGACUGAUUUUGGUCUUAUUCUAUCAAAAGCAAUAUAAUUCACACGACACAUAUUUGAACCAUAGUAUGGGACGCUUGUCCCCACCAUGGGAAUGCUGAGUAAAUGGUGAUAUUUGACGUGUUUUACUUUGUUUUUUUUUUUGUAUUCAAAGGUACAGAAUUGGUUUUUUAAAUGCACAUGACAUCCAUAUAUUGCUGUUUGUAGCAGGGUUCUUUUUUUUCUCCCUUCGCCCCUUCCUUCUUCUUCUUCUUCUUCUUUUUUUAUGUUAAAUUUACCCAGCAGUACCCUGAGUAUUGGUGUCCAGAUUUGAGGGGCAUUAAAACUGUUGUUUCCUCCUGUGAUUGUUUUGGACAAAUCAAGCAGCUCUUACAGAUCCGAAGUGAGAGUAGGGAUGUUAUGAGGGAUGGAAUCGUUCACCACGAGUCAGUCGUCUUCAUCACACAGCCGACAUGUUUAGAAAUAAACACAAAUGCCAAAAGAGAAACCCAGCUGUCCACCGUCGUGCACACCUUUCCCUUAAAAACUUUGAGUGAUAUUUUUCUGGGAUGUUACAGAAAAAAAAUGCUUUAAAACGAAACAAUAAUGAAAAAAAAUCCAAAAUGCAUCUCUCUUUUUUUUUUUUUUGUUCUUCUUUUCGUCGACGAACGCACCAUCAUUGGCUGCUUAUGUAGAGAAGCCACCAAAAUGUAUCAUACGUCAUUUUCAAUUAGGGUCAUUUACCGACAGCAUUAGCGAUCGACCCGAACGUCACUAUAUUUUUCUGAUAAAUAAGUGUAAAUUUUUCAAAAAUUCACAAAGAGCAAAAUGUCACCAUUUUAUCUGGAUGUAGUAGCUUUCCUGUUUUCACCGCUUUGUGGUGUUGUUGAAAGAUGUUGCGGUUUGUCUAAAUUUGUUGCGUGUUAGAGGAAGCAUAAGUAUGUGCCUUCUUGUAAUCUCCUUGGUGAGCUUGUUAUUAUUGAGAAGCUGAAGCCAGCCAAUUGUGUUUGCACUAAAACCAAAUUGCUUUUUGUGAUGUAGACUAUUUAAGCAAGCUUGUUGCGUCACUUUAACCGUACAGUAUGCAUGAGGGUGAAAUUGGUAAGUCUAGGGCUAGAGCUCUCAUCUGUUGACCUGUAAACCAGUGCAGCUUAGAGGAUCUUGUGAAUAUAUCUUGGCUUAGUUUCGCAUUUAGUUUUCAAAUUCCAUCUCCUUACUCAUCCAGUUUUUCACAACAGUUAAAGGUAAAACGAAACAAAAACAGAAAAAACAACACAAAAAAAAAUCAAAUAACACAUACCAUUGUACCGAUACAAUACAGCUUUUACUUUCACAUGCCACAGUUAGAGUUACACAACUGCAGAAGAGAUAUUCAUUUUUCUGAAUCCAUGGGAACGCAUGAGUAUACGAGGUCGCCUCGAGACUAUUGGUCAAAUUCAUUUAGGUCGUUUUUGAAGACUUGUAUUUAUUACAUAUUUCGUUGACAUCUAAGAAAGGCCUACAUCAUGCUUUUGAGUCUUACAAAUGCACCUUAUUCAUGUCAGUCCAUGUGGGGAAAAAAAAGGAAAAAAAAAAGGCUGGCAGUGUAAUAUCUCUGAUUUUAGCACCUUACUACACAGCAUGUUUUCACUUUAUGCCAGUUUAACUAUUCUUCCAUAUGUAUGAUUUCAAAAAUAAAUCUCAUUCUUUGUGAAAUUGUUUCAUGGGAUGUGCCAAAGUUUGGAGGCGAUCUCCCAAGUGUUUAUGCUUAUCAUAUUUUUUUUUUCUCCUCCUCCUUCAGUUAUAGCAAGGGUAUGUCAGAACUUUCCUAUAACAGUGUGUGGAAUCAAUUUAUCUCAGCAAACAGUAUCAUUACUUGCCAUUUUACAAUAAGCCCUGUAUUUCACAUAUAUUUACCAGUGAUGUGUAUUUGUUAUUAUAAAGAAAAUAGCCGUAAAAGCUUCAUUAUGUUACAUAAUAUUGUGACUUUUUUCGAAAAACUGUGAAGACUUAUCUUGCAUAUACUUUAUACAGAAGUAUUAAGCCUUAAUACAAAAGACUAAAAAAAGUGUGGAAGAAUAAACUGAUUGUUGCUAAGUAAGGAUGAUUUUUGUAAAUGUUACCAGCACUUUUUUUGUAAUUUUCACUCUCUGAGGUAUUGUACAAGUUCAAGCUGUUUGUGAAGUUUGAUUAUGAAGGAAUAAAAACUAGUACUUUCCUGUACUUCACAGAAAGUCUUGUUGCUGUUUUCUUUUUGUGCUCUUUUAUCUUUGGACAUUUUCAUGUGAAUUAAUGCCUGUGUAGUAAUAAUAAUAAUGAUAAUAAUAGGACUCACAUUUCCCAGCUGCGCUGCCACAAAGUACUAACAUCCAGUUAAUCCUUAAAACCAGAUAGACAUAUAGAUGAAAUGCUCGGAGUCAAUUUAUUCGAA